Molecule: ribosomal RNA, 272 nt
Filed under: Candidatus Uhrbacteria bacterium RIFCSPHIGHO2_02_FULL_47_29
Lineage: Bacteria; Candidatus Uhriibacteriota
Description: partial 16S ribosomal RNA
Rfam family: Bacterial small subunit ribosomal RNA
Source: RNAcentral
CAAGACGGAGCAAAUCCCUUAAACGGCCCCCCAGUUCGGAUUGGGGUCUGCAACUCGACCCCAUGAAGCCGGAAUCGCUAGUAACCGUGGAUCAGCCUUGCCGCGGUGAAUACGUUCUCGGGUUUUGUACACACCGCCCGUCAAGUCAGGGGAGCCGGAAAUGCCCGAACCCCGCAUUCGCGGGGGAAGGUAGGUCUGGUAACAAGGACUAAGUCGUAACAAGGCAUCCGUAGCGGAAGCUGUGGAUGGAUCACCUCCUUUCUAAGGAGAAA